Molecule: ribosomal RNA, 478 nt
Filed under: Peribacillus simplex
Lineage: Bacteria; Bacillati; Bacillota; Bacilli; Caryophanales; Bacillaceae
Description: bacterial SSU rRNA
Rfam family: Bacterial small subunit ribosomal RNA
Source: RNAcentral
AAGUCGAGCGAAUCGAUGGGAGCUUGCUCCCUGAGAUUAGCGGCGGACGGGUGAGUAACACGUGGGCAACCUGCCUAUAAGACUGGGAUAACUUCGGGAAACCGGAGCUAAUACCGGAUACGUUCUUUUCUCGCAUGAGAGAAGAUGGAAAGACGGUUUACGCUGUCACUUAUAGAUGGGCCCGCGGCGCAUUAGCUAGUUGGUGAGGUAAUGGCUCACCAAGGCGACGAUGCGUAGCCGACCUGAGAGGGUGAUCGGCCACACUGGGACUGAGACACGGCCCAGACUCCUACGGGAGGCAGCAGUAGGGAAUCUUCCGCAAUGGACGAAAGUCUGACGGAGCAACGCCGCGUGAACGAAGAAGGCCUUCGGGUCGUAAAGUUCUGUUGUUAGGGAAGAACAAGUACCAGAGUAACUGCUGGUACCUUGACGGUACCUAACCAGAAAGCCACGGCUAACUACGUGCCAGCAGCCGCGG